CACAGCGCCCACCAGGGACAGCCUGAGCGCCCCCUAUUGGUCCAGUGCGGCCCUCAGAGAAGCAUUUCCCAGGCGCAGACAACGCGGCUUGUUUCUACUGGACGCCGGUUCACACAACUGCAAGAGCCGGGCAAACGACCCUCAGAAGCAACUAGAGCCAGUGACGGCGGGAGAAACGGAGACUUAGAAGACGGGAGACAGGAGAGAAACCCUGAGUGGAAUCAGACUGACAUCCGGAACCCUUGGGAACCGUCAGCCCACUUCGAGUGGUGACCAGUGUUAGCAUUGCUGCAGCCUCCACCCUGAGCACCCAGGAACAGAACGAGAAUGAAUGGAUGGCACUGUGAGCAGCAGUUACCUGAGAAGAAGUGUAUUUUCUGCUACUAAUUUUACCCAAAAUUUCUUUAUUUGAUGAGUCCACAGGAUUUUAGGUUGAGUCCAUUGACUUUUGCUGAGCCUAAAAGAUGCUUUACAAUACCUUCUUUUGCAAGUUGGAUGUGACACUUUGGACUGUCUCAACUCUUGCAAUUCCUUGAGAUACAGAUAUCUUUUCCCUAAAAUGCAAAACUGUAGUCAAUUUAACUGUAAGUUCUUAACUGUGGUUGCUCAGCCACACAAAGAUUGACUUUCCUUAUAUGUAAAAGUUCUGGCAAUACCUACUCCAUAGUCUGUCCAGAGCAUUAAGUAAGAAUCUGUAUAUGAUUCUUUGUGAACUGUAAAAAACUAGAUUAAGAUUAGCUGGGUGUUUAUUUACACAUAGUAAUGUAUAUACAGACAUCAUAAGAGUAACAGGAUUUCAUUUGAUCUUUGUGGAAUGGGUAGGAGUUAAAUUGGUAGAGAGGAGAACAAUGAAUUACUGUGUGGGAAAAUGGUAUGAUAUGAUAAAGAACAGUUCAUCAAAAUCAAAUAAAAUUAAAGGGGAAAGAUGAGAGGCACUCUUUUUAAAAUAACGAUCAUAAUGAUGAUGAUGACUGUUAUUGUCAUCAUCUACUAUUUUGAAAAUUCUUCUUAAUUCAGCAAGGAAGAAAUAAUUAUUUGUAGAUGAUACAGUUUUAGUACUAGGAAACUAAAAAUAAUUGGUUAAAAGUAUUGAAAUUAAUAAGAGGGUUUGGUUAAGUAGGUAGAAACAAAUUAAUAUAUAAAGAAGCAAUAGAAUGUCUCCAAGAAGUUGGAGAAGACAGUGAAAUCUUGCCUAUAUGUUAUUCUGAAUACACUUAUAUUUACUUGCCAGUCAAGUGCAUUGUCCAAACCAGGUUUUCCCAUUGUCCUUCUCCUUCCUUCCCACCACGCUGGCGCUGGCGCUAGCCUGAGAACAAUCAUGUGAUUACAUAUAUCUAUGUUAAUUAGUAUUGAGGAGAAGAGGUUUUAUCUUGAAAAUUCUGUGUUAACAUUUUAGGUGGACCAGGAUUCUCCAAGAAGAGCACUUAAGAGAGGGCCUUCAUAAAAUGUAUGUGUCGUUUCUGUUGAUGCUUAUCUCCCUUUCAGUUCCCCUGAGGUCUCAUUUUCCUUCUCUCCCAGCAAUAACUGUUUGUUAUGGAAUAUAACAACUUGUAGACUUUUGUGAUAAGCCUGUAAUAAAUGCCAGUGUCUGUCUGCACAUGGAAGUAAGUGGUUACUUCCCUCUCUUCUCCACCCAUUCAUCACCUAGACACAGGCUCUGGGAAAGGUUAGCAGAGUUACAGAACCACCGCCUCUCUCAGCCAGAACAUUCCUCCCUCCAAUCUACCUGCCUUGUCCACCAACCCCACUGAUGACUUUAUGGCCAAAUCUGACUGUAGCCAUCCAAUAAGAUAGGUGAGCAUGCUCAGGUCCUUGGUCUAGAAAAUUUUACCUUCCCUGGCCCCCACGGGACUGUGGCCCUAAAUUUCAUUUGAAGUUGAAGAUUGGUGUAGGGGAUAGGCUGUGUCUGGGAGGGCUGAGUAAUCAGAACAGAAUGUGGGAGAGAAGGGUGGAAAAUGCCCUUCCUUUUGUCGGUUCCAGGGCCUCCUUUCUGGGCCAAACUUGGUACCAACAAAAGUACAUGAAAGUACCUAAGUUAGAAUUUGGUGAGUGAAUGUGAUUCCUCUUGCUCUUGAGCUCAGCCUAGUCCUUGUCCUUUCAUGCAGAGCAGCACAAGACCAGGCAAAGGAGUAGGAAAUGUUACGAGGCUUAGCGGCUUUGCCUAUUAGGCCCCAUAACUCUAUUCACAGCCUACUGACACAACUCCUAGUUUCCCCUAUUGUUAACAUCUUAUAUUACUUAGUACAUUGUCAAAACUAAGAAACAACCUUAGUAUA
Molecule: long non-coding RNA, 2276 nt
Organism: Acinonyx jubatus (cheetah)
Lineage: Eukaryota; Metazoa; Chordata; Mammalia; Carnivora; Felidae
Exons: 3
Source: RefSeq, a predicted model, not a curated record